GAUGAACGCUGGCGGCGUGCAUAACACAUUCAAGUCGAACGGAGUUGUUGGAAUUAAUCCUUCGGGAAGCGUGAAGACAACUUAGUGGCGGACGGGUGAGUAACGCGUGAGUAACCUGCCUUACAGAGGGGGACAACAGUUGGAAACGACUGCUAAUACCGCAUAAUGUCUAACCGAGGCAUCUCGGAUAGACCAAAGGAGUAAUCCGCUGAAAGAUGGCUUCGCGUCUGAUUAGCUAGAUGGCGGGGUAACGGCCCACCAUGGCGACGAUCAGUAGCCGGUCUGAGAGGAUGAACGGCCACAUUGGGACUGAGAUACGGCCCAGACUCCUACGGGAGGCAGCAGUGGGGAAUAUUGGGCAAUGGGCGAAAGCCUGACCCAGCAACGCCGCGUGAAGGAAGAAGGCCCUCGGGUUGUAAACUUCUUUUACCAGGGACGAAUAAUGACGGUACCUGGAGAAAAAGCAACGGCUAACUACGUG
This 481-nucleotide ribosomal RNA is filed under the name uncultured bacterium. Its description in RNAcentral is "bacterial SSU rRNA". It matches the Rfam family "Bacterial small subunit ribosomal RNA", at positions 28 to 507 of the family's 1533-position model. The record is from RNAcentral.